AACGAACGCUGGCGGCGUGGAUAAGACAUGCAAGUCGUACGGAGUGGCUUCGGCCACUGAGUGGCGCACGGGUGAGUAACGCGUGAGUCAUCCGCCCCUAAGACAGGGAUAGCCCCGGGAAACUGGGAUUAAUACCUGAUGGUCUCGCAAGAGUAAAGCAGCAAUGCGCUUGGGGAGGAGCUCGCGUCCUAUUAGUUUGUUGGCGGGGUAAUGGCCCACCAAGGCGAUGACGGGUAGCCGGUCUGAGAGGAUGUCCGGCCACACUGGAACUGAGACACGGUCCAGACACCUACGGGUGGCAGCAGUCGAGAAUCAUUCACAAUGGGCGAAAAGCCUGAUGGUGCGACGCCGCGUGGGGGAGAAGGUCUUCGGAUUGUAAACCUUAGUCAACAGGGAAGAAGAAAGUGACGGUACCUGUGGAGGAAGCCACGGCUAACUACGUG
Molecule: ribosomal RNA, 443 nt
Filed under: uncultured bacterium
Lineage: Bacteria
Description: bacterial SSU rRNA
Rfam family: Bacterial small subunit ribosomal RNA
Source: RNAcentral